RNAcentral lists this unclassified non-coding RNA (1822 nucleotides) under Hevea brasiliensis (rubber tree). Lineage: Eukaryota; Viridiplantae; Streptophyta; Magnoliopsida; Malpighiales; Euphorbiaceae. The record is from RNAcentral.
CUAGGGUUUUCAAUUCCAAGUGUCUUAUAUGUCUCUGACAGUGCUUAUCAUCAUCAUCAUCAUCAACUUUUUAUUCUCUCUUAAAAAAGAAUUUCCAAGUCUUCUUUUUCUUCUCUCUUGGGUGAGGUCAGAGAGAUGUAAAACUGGAACAUCAAAAGUCAUUCUAAAACAACCUGUAGAUGGCACUAAAUUUCAUAAUUACUUGCUGUUUGUUGAAAUCAUUCUCAUAUUCUUGAAUUGAUAUGGUGAUUAAGGAAGCCAGCUAAUAAGAAAGAUGAUGAAGAGAAGUGAUAGUUUUGAAGGCUCUAAGUCAAGCUAUUCUCACAAGAAAGUCAGCGAAGAUGGUGAGGCUGAUGAGGAAGUGGACAAAAUUUGCAGCUGCAAGCUAAGAAAUGAUGGAGACACCACAAGCAAUAGCUCAGAUGAUGAAAAGAAUGAAAAGAAGGAAGGAACUUCUAGAUCUGUCCGGCAAUAUAUUCGUUCGAAGAUGCCAAGACUCCGGUGGACGCCUGAUCUCCAUCUUUGUUUUGUUCAUGCAGUUGAAAGACUAGGAGGGCAAGAGAGGGCAACACCAAAGUUGGUUCUUCAAUUGAUGAACAUCAAAGGCCUAAGCAUAGCUCAUGUGAAAAGCCAUCUUCAAGUAUAUAUUUAAAUUCAUAAAUGGAAAUUUCAAAAUUUACCUGCCAUCUUUUGCAUAGAUUAAUCAGUAAUCAUUUAUGUGACGAAUCUGAUAUAUUUUCUUUCUUUUGGGUCCUAAUUUUCAAUGUUCUUUAAUUUGUUAGAUGUAUAGAACCAAGAAGAUUGAUGAUGCUAAUCAAGGGCAAGGGCUUUUAUUUGAAGGAGGUGCUCACAAUAUCUUCAACUUUAGCCAGCUUCCCAUGCUAAAAGGUUUCAGUCAAAGGCCUUUUUCCAGUUUAAGAUAUGGGGAUGCUUGGAGAGGUCAUGAUCACCAGAUUUAUGGCCCUUUCAUAGGAGAAGGAACCACACUCAAUAGAGACAAACAAGAAAAUUAUGGCUCGGUUGCAGAUAGAUUUGUUGGAUGCAAUACUCACAAUUCACCUAAUUAUGAUUCCAAUAGCAAUAUCAAUUCUUCUUCUUCCCUCAAUGGACAAAUUCAUCAAUCUUUCGACUCGCUCAAAUCGUUUCGCAGAUACUGUCAGAUGGAAAGUUCAAAUCCAGGUUCAUUGGAUUUCAACACCAAGUUCCAAGGAAGAGGAACAGAUGUAGAAGAACAAGGAGAAGAAGCUUGUUUCAAGAAUCAUAGCUCUGGCCUGAACAAAAAUUGGAUAACAAUUCAAGAAAUGCGAAACAAGCUAAAAAGGAAGAGUUUGGAUUCAGAUUGCAACUUGGAUUUGAACUUAUCUCUCAAAGUAACAAUGAAAGAUGGGAUUGAGAAGGGUUUGAAGGGUGAUCAUGAUAAUGAAGUUGAUAGCAGUUUAUCUCUUUCCUUAUCUUCAUCUUCUUCUUCGAAGCUUAGUGGGUUAAAGCAUCAAGAUGGAAGUAGGAAGCAUACAAGAAGGGCAAGUACUCUAGAUCUGACUCUAUGAAUAAGACAAAAUUCCAAGUGAGAUCUUGAGGUACUUGUCCAGAAGCAGUGCUCAAAAUGAUCAUGUCGUAUUUGUAUCAGAACAUUACAAGAGGUAAUUAUUAGUCAAUUAUAUAAUUUUUUUUUUAUCUUUUUAUUUGGUUGCUUGUGUGCGGAUACAAGCUUGUAGGAUUCAAUUUUGGUUAUACCAAGAAAUUAAUAUAUAUAUUAGAUGAUGAAUAUAUUUUUAGCACUACAAAAUAUGCACAUUGGGUUCUGGGUAUUGUUUUCAGAGUU